RNAcentral lists this ribosomal RNA (484 nucleotides) under uncultured bacterium. RNAcentral's name for it is "partial 16S ribosomal RNA". It matches the Rfam family "Bacterial small subunit ribosomal RNA", at positions 30 to 507 of the family's 1533-position model. The record is from RNAcentral.
AUUGAACGCUGGCGGCAUGCCCUACACAUGCAAGUCGAACGGCAGCACGGGAGCAAUCCUGGUGGCGAGUGGCGAACGGGUGAGUAAUACAUCGGAACGUGCCCAAUCGUGGGGGAUAACGCAGCGAAAGCUGUGCUAAUACCGCAUACGAUCUACGGAUGAAAGCAGGGGACCGCAAGGCCUUGCGCGAAUGGAGCGGCCGAUGGCAGAUUAGGUAGUUGGUGGGGUAAAGGCUCACCAAGCCAACGAUCUGUAGCUGGUCUGAGAGGACGACCAGCCACACUGGGACUGAGACACGGCCCAGACUCCUACGGGAGGCAGCAGUGGGGAAUUUUGGACAAUGGGCGCAAGCCUGAUCCAGCCAUGCCGCGUGCAGGAUGAAGGCCUUCGGGUUGUAAACUGCUUUUGUACGGAACGAAACGGCCUUUUCUAAUAAAGAGGGCUAAUGACGGUACCGUAAGAAUAAGCACCGGCUAACUACGUG